Non-coding RNA from Equus caballus (horse), 624 nucleotides. The record is from RefSeq and is a predicted model, not a curated record. NCBI's taxonomy places the organism in Eukaryota, Metazoa, Chordata, Mammalia, Perissodactyla, Equidae.
UUAAGAAGCUGUCUACCUGAAGCAUCCCAGCUGACCUCUGGGUCAGAGUUCAUGAGUUCUAAGAUUCCUCAGCUGUGGCCUGGAUGAAAAUGCCCUUUCACAUGUGUGUAACAAACUACGUAUAGUUUUCAUUUCACAUGCUCUGUCCAGGACCACCAGAACAAUGUGGAACGGACACAGUGGUAGUGGGCUUUCAUGGAUGCCUCAGGCUGCUCAACCAUAUGUAUGUGCCUGUGAAAUCUUUGCCCUGAAGAGAUCCGCCACAAUGAAUGGAGAAGACAUCCAAGCACCAGUGGGUAUUUUAUGUUGCCAGAGGUCUCUGAGGCAGAGAGAAUGAGCAUGCUUUCCUGUGCCUUUGUGCAGGGGAAAGCGGUAAGAGGAAAAGUAAACACGGGAACAGCAUUGUGUUCUGAGAUAGUCGCUGCCCCUCUGAUCUCAAGCCUUUUCCGUACAAAGCAGGCGCUAACCUAAUCUUUGUUUCUUCAAUCGUCCACCAAGGUUUUUUGAAUUUUUCCUUUUCUUCCUAUAGACACUCUCUCCUUAGGUUCCUAGGAAGCAGGCUGCUUGGUGGAAGAAAAGUGAGUCAUUUCCUCCUGUAGGGAGCAUUUCAAAUAAAUUAUUAUU